CCUACGGGAGGCAGCAGUGGGGAAUAUUGGACAAUGGGCGAAAGCCUGAUCCAGCCAUGCCGCGUGUGUGAAGAAGGCCUUCGGGUUGUAAAGCACUUUCAGUGGGGAAGAAAGCCUUGGGGCUAAUACCCUCGAGGAAGGACAUCACCCACAGAAGAAGCACCGGCUAACUCCGUGCCAGCAGCCGCGGUAAUACGGAGGGUGCGAGCGUUAAUCGGAAUUACUGGGCGUAAAGCGCGCGUAGGCGGUCUGAUAAGCCGGUUGUGAAAGCCCCGGGCUCAACCUGGGAACGGCAUCCGGAACUGUCAGGCUAGAGUGCAGGAGAGGAAGGUAGAAUUCCCGGUGUAGCGGUGAAAUGCGUAGAGAUCGGGAGGAAUACCAGUGGCGAAGGCGGCCUUCUGGACUGACACUGACGCUGAGGUGCGAAAGCGUGGGUAGCAAACAGGAUUAGAUACCCUAGUAGC
Molecule: ribosomal RNA, 464 nt
Filed under: Vreelandella stevensii
Lineage: Bacteria; Pseudomonadati; Pseudomonadota; Gammaproteobacteria; Oceanospirillales; Halomonadaceae
Description: partial 16S ribosomal RNA
Rfam family: Bacterial small subunit ribosomal RNA
Source: RNAcentral